RNAcentral lists this long non-coding RNA (285 nucleotides) under Lathyrus oleraceus (garden pea). Its description in RNAcentral is "Pisum sativum (pea) long non-coding RNA (PSAT_LNC042220)". The record is from RNAcentral. Lineage: Eukaryota; Viridiplantae; Streptophyta; Magnoliopsida; Fabales; Fabaceae.
AAUAACAUAAUAGUAAUAUAAUAUUAGAAAAAUUGCAAACACACUCAUUCACCCUCAAAAGUUGUUUACGAUGAAUAUGAAUAAAAAAAUCUUCAAAUGAUGAAUAUAAAACCCUAACGUUCAAAUCAUGCAUGUGAACCCAGAAAUCUUCAUCUUUGUUGUCAUCUUCCACAACCCAAUAUGUUGUCAUCGCCCUGUGAUUGUCAUCAUCCAACAAUAUCUGCAAAUCAUCAUCAUUGUCACUGUCCCAAUCCUUGUUCCCGCCUCCUCCAUUGUAACCUUCAC